UAUCUGCCAUGAGUUUAUUUGAAUGGCCGCAGUAAUUUGACUGUGCAAAGGUAGCAUAAUAAUUAGGCUUUUAAUUGRAGUCUGGUAUGAAUGAUUGGAUGAGAAAAUGACUUUCUUUAAUUUUUUAUUUGAAUUUAAUUUUUAAGUGAAAAAGCUUAAAUGUUUCUAUGGGACGAUAAGACCCUAUAGAGCUUUAUUAGUUAUUUUUUAUUAUUUUUAUUUUUUAAUUUUAUUAUUUUAUUAAUUAUUUUGUUGGGGUGAUAGUUAAAUUUUUAAAACUUUAAUUUUUUUUUUCAUUAAUUUAUGUUUUUUUUGAUCUUUUAUUAUUGAUUUUAAUAUUAAUUACUUUAGGGAAACAGAAAUUUUUUUUUAAAAAUUU
Molecule: ribosomal RNA, 379 nt
Filed under: Notozulia entreriana
Lineage: Eukaryota; Metazoa; Arthropoda; Insecta; Hemiptera; Cercopidae
Description: partial 16S ribosomal RNA
Source: RNAcentral